AUCACCUGAGAUCCUUGUUAAGAUGCAGAUUCUAAAUCAUAAGGUCAAGAGCCUGAGAGUCUGCGUUUGUAACAAGCUCCCAGGUGAUGCUGA
Molecule: microRNA precursor, 93 nt
Filed under: Loxodonta africana (African savanna elephant)
Lineage: Eukaryota; Metazoa; Chordata; Mammalia; Proboscidea; Elephantidae
Description: mir-544 microRNA precursor family
Rfam family: mir-544 microRNA precursor family
Source: Rfam by way of RNAcentral